This is a long non-coding RNA of Bos indicus x Bos taurus (hybrid cattle), 1403 nucleotides long. NCBI's taxonomy places the organism in Eukaryota, Metazoa, Chordata, Mammalia, Artiodactyla, Bovidae. The record is from Ensembl.
AUGCACACACAGCUGCUCGUAUAUACCCAUGCACACACGUGCAUGCACACACACAUAUGCACCAAUGCACACACAUCACACACGUAUGUACCCAUUUCACACACACACGCACAGGCACAUGUAUGCAUGCAAAAAGAGCCAGUCUCUCCUCUCCCCGCCAGAGUCCUGUGGGCCCUGCUGGGCACCGGGCAUAUGCUCUGUCAGCCCCGUGUGCCAGGACACAUGUGGGGGCUCCUGCCCUACGGGAGCUCAGCUCUGGCUCGGGAAAUACAACACGUGCUCAAAGACUCCGGGUGGUGGAGGGAUAAACUCUGCCUUGCCAUCACCCAGCCUCAGUGGCCAUCACCCCCUUUCUCUUCCUUGGCUGGCAAAGGUGGAGACCUACCCAGUAUGAAAGGUGACAUUUGGGGAGCCGGAGGCAACCUGGUGGAUGUCACAGAGCGAGCUGAGGUGGAAAACGCAGAUGCUGGCCGGCAGUGAACCGUGGCUUUGCGAGGAGGACGAGGAGACAGAGUCUUGCCUUUUCCAGGACACAGCUGCUGUCCCCUGAUGCCCAGCUGUCAUUAGCAUCCUUCAGGGGCCCUCCCCCGUUAGCCUCAGAUUUCAAGUUAGUUCUGCUUCCUCUAUUCAAAUCUUUCUGGUUUAGCUCAGCUGGAAGGACCCCCAAAAUUAUCUGAUUAAAAUAAUUUACAUGGUCUUGUAAAGACUGAUCAGCGGAAGCUUCCUGAGAGUUUUUGCCUCCCCGUUCCUUUUGAACAUGCAUCAGCCACAGCUAGGCGGUUGACCUGGGUGGUGACUGACUACAUCUCUGCCUCCCCAGCCCCUCGGGCUUCCAGGUGGUGCUGGAGGUAAAGAACCCAUCUGCCGAUGCAGGAGACGUGACAGACGUGGAUUCAGUCCCUGGGUCAGGAGGAUCCCCUGGAGGAGGGCCUGGCAGCCCACUCCAGGAUUCUCACCUGGAGAGUCCCAUGGACAGAGGAGCCUGGCAGGCUACAGUCCACGGGGUCACAGAGUGGACAUGACUGAGCGACUGAGCACACCCAAGCCCUCGGGCUGGAGGAAAGCACUCCGUAGGGCAUACCGGUGUUCUGGAGCACUGUCGGGCCCUCCUCUGAAGAUAGCGGAUUUGGGGUGGGAGUGGUCUCUCUGUGCUCCCGCACUUCGCUUGGGCGGGCUGCUGUCUGGGGGUGGGGGGCACCCUGCACUCCCCUGGAGCUGACAGUGAUGGAUAUGGUCAGAUUUGGAACCAGACGGGGAUGAGCGGAGGUUCUCAUCCUGGUCAGCCCAGCCUCCCCCGGUCCUGCUCCCCAGCUGCAGAUCCAGACCUUGGGCUCCUCCAGCUAUCAGAAGUCUGUCUGCAUGGACUCAGGGAGGUCCUAGCAGCAUCCCAGGGUGCGGGACCU